UGUUUACUGAAGGUUUACUGAAGGUUUACUGGAGGUUUACUAAAGGUUUACUGAAGGUUUACUGAAGGUUGAAUAAAGGUUUACUGAAGGUUAAGGUUCAUAAUUUGCAGAGUGUUUCACGACACAGUUUAAAACCUUCAAGUAGGUCCUGGAGUUUUCUCUGGUCAGGUUACGUGGUCUGGAGAAACUCUUGGCCCCAUCACCCCUGAAGUGAAUGGAUAUGAGAAGUUGAGCAGUGAGACUAUGGUGGAAUAUACAGUGCUGUACACACACUGAAUAUACAGCCCUGUACACAAUGACUAUACGGCCCUGUACACACAAUGAAUAUACACAAUGAAUAUACACAAUGACUAUACGUCCCUGUACACGUAAUUAAUAUACGUCCCUGUUGUCUACUGGGCCUAUGAGCAUGUAGAGUCUACUUUGUGAUUUAGAAAUUGCUGGACAAUCUUGUAAUAAAUGCAUAAAAAAUA
Oncorhynchus keta (chum salmon) is the source of this 473-nucleotide long non-coding RNA. RefSeq lists it as uncharacterized. The record is from RefSeq and is a predicted model, not a curated record. The transcript is spliced from 2 exons. Lineage: Eukaryota; Metazoa; Chordata; Actinopteri; Salmoniformes; Salmonidae.